Molecule: long non-coding RNA, 2777 nt
Filed under: Homo sapiens (human)
Lineage: Eukaryota; Metazoa; Chordata; Mammalia; Primates; Hominidae
Description: non-protein coding lnc-ARL5C-1:1
Source: RNAcentral
UUCCAGAGCCAGAGUAUGCUCAGAGAGAUGCCCUCUCCUUGUCUGUUUACUGAAUGUGUUUCCAGCUUGCAGAGUGUUACUUUCAAUUCUGCAAAGAGGAGGUGGGGAGGGCAGCAUGCACUAAGAUGUUCCUCCCCGCAUCCCACUAACCCCAGGAAACAGAUGGUAAAAUGCUUAAGACACUGCUGCUUCCCUCAGCACCCUUGGUGCCCCACCCCCCAGCCCCAGACUUGGCUCCUUCUCUCCUAAGGCUGAAAUGCAAUCAGCCCAGAUGGGCUCUGGCAGUCAACUCUAUCCUUCUAACUCUGGGCACCAAGCAGGGUGGGAUGAAAGUCUGUAUUUAGUCAGCUAUUUUCCUUCUUCUUCCCGCAAACUUCCCAGCCUUCCUCAAUCCUCUUAAACUUGUGUUCACAUUCCUUUUUUAAUACUCCAAGUGCCAUUUCUCAGGCUGUAGCUUAACUCAUUCUACAUCAGUCUGACAGCAACACAUUCCUCCUGUGUGCAGGGUUCUGGACCAGGCAGGGAGUGAUUGGGCUGGCGGGGGAGGUCAUAUGCUGGUUAACAAUAUAUGAAUCCCACCCUGGUACUCACAGUUGAUGGGAGGAAACAGACUUGCCCGUCUAUAAGCCCAGUGUAGGGAGAAGCCCCAUGUGGCUGGAGAACCAAGUCAGGGCUGGGGAAGCAGGUGGCUUUUAUGGCAGGGCAGCUAAUGGGUCUCAGGCAUUCUCCUUUCUGAGAAGGUGAAAGGCACUCAAGGAGGAAAUGCAGAAGCAAAGGCACCAUCAGAAAGAGCCAGGCAUGUAUAGGCAGGAACCAGUAGAUACAGAGCCUGGGAGAUAAACCUGUGAAGGCAGGUGGGGGCUGUUCGUGGAAGCUCUUGAAUGUCAAGUGGAGACUGAUCUGAAUCCAGUGAGCAAUAGGGAGCCAUUGAAGAUCUAUGAGCUGGGGGAGUUACAGACCCUGAGCUGUGCUUUAGGAAGGUUAAUAGGGGCCAUGGAGAGGAUGCCUUGGGAAAGGAGAGGAAGAUGCAGGGAGACCAGUUAGAAAGUUGUUACCUUAAUGGAGGGUUGUUACCUUAGUGGAGGCUGCAGGAAGGCAGUACAGUCGGGUGGAAGGAGCUGGCUCCCUGGUGUGUUGGCUGGAUCUCCUGCUAACCAUUCCUGCAGCCUGAGGGCACGUUGCCUUUUGGACUUCUCCUUUUGUUAUCUGAUUUUUUGUUUUUUUCCCCCCAGCUUAAGCAAAGAAAGAAAUUCACAAGCAACAGCAGGAAACUCCACCUUCCAUUCCCUCCUCAGGCCUGGCCUCCUGGUUCUCUGUUGGCCCAUGUACUCCUCUGCCAGGUAUCUGGGGCCUCUCUGCAGGGUCUCCAGCCGGAGGAUCUCUCUUCAUGCUCCAUCCUUGUCUUCAGGCGCCCACUUUUGGGGAUCAGGAAGCUGUGCCUGGGCAGUAGGUUUGUCCGUGAAUUGUAGGAGUACUGAUUUAUCCUAGAAGUUGCCAAGCAUCAAGGGGAGACCCUGCCCUUCCCCAGGGGAAUGCAAUUUGAGUGGGCCCACAAGACCCACGCUAGUGAACCAACUGCACAUCUGUGGAGGGUUGGAAUAUUCUCCCAGCUCAGAGAGGAUCGGUGAGCCCUGUCUGUACUACACAGCUGGUAGGUACAGAAAGUGGGUCGCCUGGGGUUUUGCUUCAGUCUAGUGCCCUAGACAUGGCACUCAGAGGAGGGAGAGCUGGGAUCCGGUUCCGCGCGCAGUGCUGAGUCUCCCCUGAUUUGCGGUAGUGGAGCAGUCCACCCGGAGAACUCAGGAGUUUUCGCAGGGCGAGGGGGAGGGCUGGAGCCUGGAACCCCCAUAUUCCUUGCACCUCUUGGGCCCGGGACAGGCAGCCCUUAGUCACUGGGGUGUCCAUAGUGCCCACGAAGGGCCAGCGUCCCAGAGGGUUCCCAGGUCAGGUUGGUGACGUGUGGGGCUUCCCUAACUUCGUAGGCAAAAUCUGCCAGACCCUCCCGGGGGAGCGGAGCUCCGAAUACCAGGGCCGACUCCGCUCCUGAGGCCGCUGAGCCCUCCUGCACCUGUCCGGCCCGGGAAGUGCCAUGGGACAGCUGAUCGCCAAGUUAAUGAGCAUCUUCGGGAACCAGGGUAAGGGGCGCACAGGGCAUCCAAGCGAGCGCUUUGAUCUCGCCCUCUUCUGGGACUCCUCUGAUCUGUGGUCGGACGCACGGGGGGACCUCGGGCUCCGAGGGUCGUAUAUGGGCGCUCCUCGACUGCCCCGCGGCCUCCCCUGCCCCCGUCCCUGCCUGCUCCUCUUGGGUCCCGGCGCUUCGGUGCGCCCCAGGACGCAAAGCUGGGCGACCCUCCUUUCUCCCCGCUAAACGGAGCCAGCGGCGGGGAUGGGGGGCUGCUGCGAGUUUCCUGCGAUUGUGACUUCGCGUUAUGCUCUUUCUCUAAACACCGUCUCUUGGCAAGCCCCGAAGCGCCCCGGGCCUUUCAGACACUUUUCUGGAAUGUGAAGGGAGGUGGGGGCUCAGCUGUCUUUUCCACCGUCCCGGAGUGGGGCAGGUGUCGGAGCUGGGUGGGAAGCAGACGCGGUACGGUGGGCAGAGGUCCCCAGCCUGCGGGGAGCGCUAUCUCCUUCCUGGGAGGUCUGGUGGGGGCACACAGUCCCUUGGUCUUCGGGUUUGGCCCUGACGCUGCCCUUCCUCCGACGCUUCCAGAGCACACGGUCAUCAUCGUGGGACUGGACAAUGAAGGAAAGACCACCAUUCUCUACCGGUUGUAAGU